AUCCCCCAGUGAGCCCUAAAAUCAGCCCCAAAGUCGGCCCAAAUCAUCCCCAAAAUUGGCCCCAAAAUCGAUCCCGAAUUGGCUCCAAAUCAGCUCAAAACCCUCCCCAAAUCGGCCCCUGCUUCCACCCCAGCUCCCUCCGCUCUCUCCCCAGUUCCCACAUUUCCACCCCCUCAAAUCCCCCCUCUUUAAUCCCAAUUUCCCCCAAAUUUUCCCCUUUUUCCCCCAAAUUUCCCCCCCAGCUCAGAAGAACCUGACGACAAACGGCUCCGACCCGACGACCCCUCGGGGCUCCUGGGACCCCUCAACUUCUCAGGGGGGGACCCCAACCCCUCCUACAACUACUGGUACCAGCACGGCUACGGCACCUACGGCUACCAGAGCCCCUGGGGCUACAGCCACUACUACGGGCAGAGCUGAGGGGGCCCUGCCCCCACCCCCACCCCUGUACAGACUGUGGGACCCUCCCCCAAAAUUUGGGGCGGGGGGCGUUGUAAAUAAAGAGGCUGUGAGGAGUUUACUGGGGUUCGUUCCGUUUUUGGGGGGGGGUUUCAUUUUAUUUCUGGGGGAUUUUGGGGAUCUUCUCUCUGUGGAUUUCAGGGUUCCUUCCAAGGAUUUUUGGGGUGGCUCAGGUGGAUUUUGGGACCCCAGCAUGGAUUCUGAGGUACCCCCAACAGAUUUUGGGGUUUGGGGCUGUCCAUGGCAGAUUCCAGGCAGAUUUUGGGAUGCUCCAGGUGAAUUUGGAGGUGCCCAGGUGGAUCUGGAGGUGCCCCAAACAGAUUUUGGGGUGCCCAGGUGGAUCUGGAGGUGCCCCAAACAGAUUUUGGGGUGCCCAGGUGGAUCUGGAGGUGCCCAGGUGGAUCUGGAGGUGCCCCCAGGAGCUGUUGCCGUACCCAGGAUCCAUUCCAGGCUGCUCCAGGCGUUUCCACAGCAGAUCCUUUGCAGACUUUGGGGUCCCCCGGCAGAUCUG
This 970-nucleotide long non-coding RNA is filed under the name Serinus canaria (Common canary). Its description in RNAcentral is "lncRNA (ENSSCAG00000001803.1)". The record is from RNAcentral. Lineage: Eukaryota; Metazoa; Chordata; Aves; Passeriformes; Fringillidae.